Molecule: long non-coding RNA, 208 nt
Filed under: Zostera marina
Lineage: Eukaryota; Viridiplantae; Streptophyta; Magnoliopsida; Alismatales; Zosteraceae
Description: long non-coding RNA (ZMAR_LNC004187)
Source: RNAcentral
CAUCUGUUUCAUUGACGCCCAUUGCAUCUUCAAGGGCUACCCAAGUAAGACCGUCAUCACCAUAAACCCACUCAUUGGCCGGUCCUUCCUCUCCACAUAUCCAUUCGGAGUUAUAGUUUAUGUCUUCAGCUGCUAUGGAGUCGUCUUGACAAUCUAGCUUGCGUUGCAAUUGUCGUUCAUUCAAUCGCUUGUUGUAGUGAAUGUAGAC